RNAcentral lists this long non-coding RNA (1176 nucleotides) under Chinchilla lanigera (long-tailed chinchilla). RNAcentral describes it as "lncRNA (ENSCLAG00000025507.1)". The record is from RNAcentral. Lineage: Eukaryota; Metazoa; Chordata; Mammalia; Rodentia; Chinchillidae.
AUGCUUACCUCAAGAAGCAGCAGCUGCAGAAGCCCAGACACCAAGAAGCUGAGAUCUUUGGCAUCAAGAAGGGGAGAUACCAGAUUUCAGAGCAAAAGUAAAGUCUUAAUUUUUCCAGAUGGCAGCAAGUUUAAAGACAGUAAGAAGAAAAGUCAUGAACGAUGUUCCAUGCUUUAUGUGAGGGAAGAAGAUUUCAUCACGGAUGCCACUGUUUUGGUAAGCCAUACCGGCAUAGGUGUCAAACAAUACCAAGUCCACAUGUACGGCUCACUACAAAACUGGGUCCUGAGAUAUGAGUUCCUCAUCUCCCCAGCCCCAUCAUUAUACCUUCACCUCUAGCAGAAUGCUCAAGGGAGGAGGGACACCCACAAAAUUCUCCUUCACCGAGGAGUUUACACCCCAUGAUAUCAGAUACUGCACAUAAGACUGGUUGGAAUCCAGCUUUAAACCAUCUGGCUUUGGAGCUCCCAGACAUACAUUUAUCAAGAAUGUCUCGUAUUUUUGUGGGAGCCAUCUGGAAACAGAAAGACAAAGACCUUGGAGCUAUUAGAAGAAGCUUUCCGUGUGGGCACCUCCACUCCAUUCAUUGUUAAGCAGAUGCUGUUUCCGUGCCUGCUGCUUCUCCAGUUGCAAGUUCCAAUGUCGACACCUGCGCUGUAAUAUUUUAGGCAUCUGAAUCCUUGGCAGGGGUUAAGACUGAACUUCUUGGAGAUGUCACGUUCCCUUCCCUUCCUGUUAUCUCUCCCGCAGGCUCUUUUUGAUCCUCUUUUGUCUCCUUUCUUCUUCCUUGCCUGGUGCUCCCAGCCUCCUUUCUGCAAGGUUUUCCUGGUCCUUACCUUACUUUGGGAAAAGGAAUAAUAGAGCAGAUGCUGACUUUAGAUACAUGGUAGUUUCACAUAGUAUUUUAUACAGGUGGUGCAGUGUGUAACUGUUUCUAAAACUUUUUACAUGUUAUUUUACACAUUCAAUAUGUGCAUACAAUAAAAACUGAAAAUGGUACAAAAAGGUUGAGAAUUAAAAUUGCAUUUUCCUAUCACUUUUGAUAUCUAGUCACGUGUUCCAUCUUUUGUAGGAAACUCUUGCCCUUGGUUUCUUCUAUACAGUACUUUUGAGAGCUAGGAAGAUACGCACAUCCAAGCAAGUUAAGUUUGUACACAAAAGCUAGCAUGCUACAUG